UAAAAGCUUAAUAUUUUGCCAUUUUGGGCUUGGCCCAUUUUUUUGCCCAGGAGUGUACAUGUAGAAUGUAAAUAGAACAUAUGUUUAAAAGGGUAUAGAAAAGGCAUAACCUUUUCCACCUGACACAUGAUUACAAACUGGCCAACAAAUGAUGUAAAGCCUACAGAAAAUCACAACUGGCAGAUAAAGGUCUCUUCACUCUAAUCUGUUGACAUGACUACAUAGACAGCUGUACAUAAAUAAGUGUAUUUUAAACAUGACAAAACCACAACUGAUCCAAUCAUGCGUGAGUCCUAUUUUUUGCAAUAUGGAGUAAGUAACCCUGCUUUUACUCUAUUUGAUGGAUGUAGAGCUGGAUUUGAAUCUGGCCUGGGCCUUUCUGUGUGGAGUUUGCAUGUUCUCCGCCAUGUCUGCAUGGGUAUCCUCCGGGUACUCCAGUUUCUUGCCACAGUCCAAAGACAUGCAGGUCCUGGUCGGAUGCUACAUUUGGCUUCUUCAUGAAUGAGAUGGAUAUGUAGUUUUGCACUUAUGUCACAAGAAAUCAUUGAAGAAUACUUGAACACUACAGAUCCAGUCAUGGUCACUAUGGAAGAAGAUUAGCUCUCCCCUGCAUUUACAGCGAUUGUGUGUACAAUAUCCAGUUACAAAAGUCUCUCCAAACACACGAGACAACAUGGUGUUGAGAAUUAGAUGCCAUUUAUGUGACUUUGAAGAACCUGCAGACGUUAAACUAUACUUUCGUAAUCUUGGCACGCAUUUGAGAAAUAAGGAAACUGUCAUUUGCUCAUUUAAUCGUUGUGCUUUUAAAUCAAGUGUUAACUCCAGUUUUCCACCACACAAAAGUCUAUCAUAACUCCAACUCUUUACAAGAUUUUAAAGCAGAGCUUCUUCUUGGCCCACCAAAAUAAAUUGAACACUCAGAAGAUCAUGUUUUAGAUACUGCUGCACAAAUAGCCGAUACUAACACUCAAUCAGCAGAUGGAAAUUGUGUUGACUUCCAGUCAGAUGAUGACGAAGAUGCUGACAUUGAACAUGGCAAUGACAUUGGUGAAAAAAUUAAGGGAAGACUUGCAUCUUUGCUUCUACGCAUGCAAGCAGUCUACACAGGAAAUAAUUAAUGAAUUUUAUGAAAUUGGUAUUUUAGCUGGUGAACUUUCAGAAAACACUGUUUAAGUGGUUCUUAAAGAGCAUAACUUAAAUAUAGAUGAUGCCACACUGAAGUUAGUGACUGAGACCCUCCAGAAAACCAAUCCUCUUAGCUGUCUUUCAGAGAGUGGUCCUCUUGGAACUGAAUAUGAAAGGCAGUCAUUUUACAACAAAAGAUUUGAUGUUAUUGAGCCAGUUGAAUAUGUUUUAGAUGGUCUGCACAAGAAAACUUCUGUAUAUGUCCCAAUUUCAAUUGUAUUGCCAAAAUUAUUGAAUGGGGUGACGUAUUUGACAAAAUCCUAGAACAGUCAAAUGUAAAACCUCAGUUUGGUCAGUACAAAUCAGUUUGUGAUGGGCUAUACUUCAAAGAUAAUCCACUUCUUUCAGGUGAAGACUUGGGUAUUUCUCUAGGAUUAUAUAUUGAUGAAUUUGAAAUAUGCAACCCUUUGGGACUUCAAGAAAAAAACAUAAAGUUACUGCUAUUUAUUUGGUAUUUGCAGAUUUGUCUGUCAGAUGCAGAUCAGCCUUAUCCAAUAUAUACCUUUCAGUACUGAGCAAUAGUAGUGAUGUGAAGACUUUUGGUUAUGAACUAAUUGUUGAACCACUUCUUAGGGAGCUUUGUAUACUUUAAACCAGGGAUUUUACAUUGAUAGGUUGAGUACUUGCAUCAAAGGCACAGUCCUGUAUGUGUCAUCAGACAAUUUAGGAGCUCAUUCUUUGGCUGGGUUUUAAGAGUCACUUUGUGUUGAUAAAUUUUGUAGAUUCUGCUUAGCCAGCCAUGAUGCUAUUCAGAGUGUCUCUGUGAGGGAUGGUUUGUUUCCACUGAGAACUAAAAUAUCGCACACUGAAGCUGUUCAGAGAGUAAAAGAGAACGAGGGUCUUGUUGUUGAUGGAGUGAAAAGGGAUUGUGUCCUAAACAGACUAAACUUUCACUAUGUAACAGGUUUUCCAUCAGACUUCUUACAUGACUUAUUUGAAAGAAUCGUACGUGUGGAGUUGUGUUUGUGUUUAAAGACACUGAUUGACAAGAAUUACUUUACCUUAGAGGAAUUGAAUUCUGCCAUUCAGCAUUUUCCGUAUAAAUUCUCAGAUAAGACAAAUAGACCACAGACAAUUCCCAAGGCCUUUAGAUCAAAAGGAACAGUUGGUGGGAACGGCCAUGAAAAUUGGUCACUUUUGAGGCUGCUCCCCUUGCUUAUUGGCAAUAAAAUACCUGAGAAUGGCACGACUUGGGGUAUCAUCUUAGAUAUUAAAGACAUUGUGGAAAUUCUAGCAUCGCCCAUGUUCACGGAGGAAAAGCUGUUUUAUCUUGAAGCCAGAAUCUUUGAACACCGCCAACUCCUACAGGAGGUUUUUCCUGAGUUUAAGCUGAAACCAAAACAUAAUUUUUUAGAGCAUUAUCCCCGUCUAGUUUGUUGUUUUGGGCCUUUGCUUGACUUUUGGACAAUUAGAUUUGAGGCCAAGCAUAGCUUUUUUAAGAUGGUUGUUCGCGAUGUUAAUAAUUUAAAAAAAUAUACUACUAACUUUAGCCUCCAGGCACCAGCUCAUGUUCGCAUAUUACAUGGGCAUGCCUACCCUGUUCAAACCAGCACUGGAAGUUGGAAAAAUAUCAACUGUCUGUCCUGACAUUUUGGACCCCUCUGUCAAAGACACUAUCAAUUCAGAAAUGUGACUGCUAUUUCUCUUGCAAAAACUGUAUUCUUACACGGAACUCAGUACACACAAGGAAUGUUUUUAUCAAUUCGAAACACAAGUGGACUGCCUGAUUUUUGGAAAAUUGUUAAUGUGUUAAUUGUAAAAACAAGCUGUUUUUUGUGGAAACGUACACAGCAUUGGUACACAAAGCACUUGAGUUAUGAGGUCUGCAAAAAUCACUCUGCUUGUAGUCCAACCAGAGGAGCUCAAUGAGUACUUCCCCCUGUCGGUGUAUAUGGGUCAAGACAGACUUCUGGUUUCUCCUAAAGCAUUUCUGCCUCAUUGAGUUAAAUUAGCACCUCUCUUACACAGUUUCAACAAAACACCAACAUUAUGACCUUUAUAACUGUAUGGCUACUGGAUUGGAUUGCAUUGUAGGGUGUCUCUUUUGUUUUGUCCACCCCCUGUAUCUUGCUUCAGUUAAGUCUUGCCAUUUACUUGUCAUGUUUUGUCAUUCUCAGCUUCACAGUGGAGCACGAGCUGCCAUCCUGGUUUGUUGUCCAGCUAGAGGAGCUCAACGAUUACUUCCACGUUGGCGUAUAUGGCUCAAGACAGACAUCUAGUUUCUCCUAAAUCAUUUCUGCUGCAUUGAGCUAGAGGAGCUUGAAGAUUACUUCCCCCUGUUGGCGUGUAUGAUUGCCCAACAUGCUGCUGCAAAUCAUUCUCAACAAAGAUGACAUUAGGAAGAUCCAGAUUGAUAGUUUGCCAGAGACUCUUGAUGAGUUUUAUUCAUUCUUGAAAUGUAAGCUUGGAUUGGAAGGUGACUUGGUGGUCCAAUAUGAAGAUUGAGAGUUUGACAAUGAGCUCUGCAAAUUUAUGAGCUUGUCUGAUCUUCCUGAGGGGAAGGCAACACUGAAGGUAACUGUCAAGCAGGCCCCUGAGUCAUAUCACACUGAUUCAACGUUUGACACGGCAAGUUUGUCCUUGUCCCCAUUGUCUUUUCGUGAAGACAUUUCCACCUGCCAUCGGCCUUGGCCUGACCCAUUUGAGAUUCCUAGAUUUUCAAAUGAUGUAGAGUUGCAACUUAAAAGGGAUAAUGAAGCCUACCAGGAGAACAGAACCUUGCUUAAUACAAGGAAAGACACUAAAUCUGAGAUACUUGACAAAUUGGCAGAAGCAAUGUACGCAUACACUGCCUACCCAUCACGAGAAGAAUAUGACAUCGUUGCAAGUCUCAUCAAGAAACAUCCUUGCCUGAGGGAGCCUGGGUCUGCCAAGGGUUGGCACUGCUGGAAAUUCAGCCAAAAAUUAAAAAUGGGAAACUACAGGAACAAGCUCUGUGUGGCUGGAUGCUCUGAACUCCAAGUUAAUCGCUGCUCCUCAGGACCAAAACAGAAGCUCAAGAAAGCUAAAAAAGCCGAAGUCAAUUUUCUUCCUGACUUCCCUGAAGGAAGAACCAAAAAUGUUCUGGAAGAAGAUAGAUUAGCCAUUAUUGGAGAGAUGAAGAAGAAGAAAGCUGGUAUGAAGAAAGUCAACAAAAUGAUGGUCAGCAUCUUCUCCCUGCAACAAAAGCAAAUUGUGGAACAAGAGCCACCUGUGGCAGAGGUGAAGACCCAGUGGCCAGCUUUGUUCACGGAGCAACAGGCCACAGACACUGAGGACAGCAUGGCAAGGGAAAUGAAUGUCGGCAUCCUCCUGAUGAAAGGAUCUUCUUGACGUCUCGGUGGCGCUGGAGGAUCAGAUCAUUCUCCAUGGCAUCAAGGACUACUCACAUGCGGUAGCUAUGCUAAUUGGUCUGCUAUAUGCACUGAACAUUGACUAACCGAAGGAGCUGCAAUAUACCUUCAAAGUCAUUCAGAAGGUUCUCAUGAAUAUCGGCAGUGAGCAAUGCUCUGCAAGCGUUCAUGGACUGAGGAAUAGACUUCUUCGUAAAACUGUGUAGGCACUACACUGAGACAGGAGUUUUGUGAAAGCUGACAAUGAUACAUUGGUUGGCCAUUAUCCUACAGUUUUCUUUAGAGUUCUGUUCCACUAUUACAACGUAACUUUGUUCACUAACCGAUCUUAUGCCACAUUCUCAGUUGAGCAAAUUUAAGAGCUUUUCCAUAAAGUUGUAAGUUGAAAUUAGUCAUAACUUUUUUCCUACAAGCCUAGGGGUUUGAGGUCUUUACUGCAAAGUCUGUUUUACUACCGUGAGAUUGACCUUUUUGGUUGUGCAUAAUUUUACUUGAUAUUUUUAGUUUAUUAUGCACUUACUCAUAUUUUUACUUGUAUUUUUAAAAAUACAUUUUUCAUUAAUUUUUUUACAUGCAUCUGCAAACACUUGUAUAAGUAAGCAUAGUGACAGAAUGAAAGAUAGCGGCAGCAGUAAUGAGUAGAGAAUACUUAUUUGUGCACAUUCUAGAGCGGGGAUGUUUACCCACAAGCUUGUGCUGUUUUAGGGGUAAAAAUCUUUUUGUAUUUGAUGGGAUCUGUUAUUUUGCUGUAUACUCAAAGGUUGUUUUAUUACCUUGCCCAUCUGUGUUAUUAAAUCUUUGAAGAACUGGAA
Anguilla anguilla (European eel) is the source of this 5329-nucleotide RNA transcript. RefSeq lists it as uncharacterized. The record is from RefSeq and is a predicted model, not a curated record. The transcript is spliced from 5 exons. Lineage: Eukaryota; Metazoa; Chordata; Actinopteri; Anguilliformes; Anguillidae.